This 30-nucleotide small RNA is filed under the name Bombyx mori (domestic silkworm). RNAcentral's name for it is "ovarian small RNA-15136". Lineage: Eukaryota; Metazoa; Arthropoda; Insecta; Lepidoptera; Bombycidae. The record is from RNAcentral.
GAACCCUCUGCAAGAGGGCCGCGUUGCGAU